Acanthopagrus latus (yellowfin seabream) is the source of this 377-nucleotide long non-coding RNA. RefSeq lists it as uncharacterized. The transcript is spliced from 3 exons. Lineage: Eukaryota; Metazoa; Chordata; Actinopteri; Spariformes; Sparidae. The record is from RefSeq and is a predicted model, not a curated record.
GCAGCCUCACACACACAAACUAAGAGAGGUAAGCUGCAGCAAUGGUGAGUCCACAGGAAAAGUUGCUGUUUUCAAUGUGGAAGUACAGACACUACUUUAAUCUCCUUCAGAUGCCUCUUUUGCAAUGUUGCUUAUGGGACAAAGUCUUCUUGGGGCCCCCCCUGCAUCAGCUGGAGCAGCAGCAUCCUCAGCUAGCCUUGUGCAAAGAGUCGAGGGAUGUAUCUGAGGGAAGAUGGCUGCAGACACAGCACCCAGCUCAGUAAAUUUCACCGUCUGGAGUCACGUCUGGAUGAUUGACGUUUCCAGCACUACCUGAGGCUGACCGGUACCCUGCUCUCAGCUGUGGUGUGCCUGUCCAUCUGUUUCCAGUGAGUGGC